This 929-nucleotide ribosomal RNA is filed under the name Chryseobacterium daecheongense. Its description in RNAcentral is "bacterial SSU rRNA". It matches the Rfam family "Bacterial small subunit ribosomal RNA", at positions 510 to 1453 of the family's 1533-position model. The record is from RNAcentral. Lineage: Bacteria; Pseudomonadati; Bacteroidota; Flavobacteriia; Flavobacteriales; Weeksellaceae.
AGCAGCCGCGGUAAUACGGAGGGUGCAAGCGUUAUCCGGAUUUAUUGGGUUUAAAGGGUCCGUAGGCGGAUGCGUAAGUCAGUGGUGAAAUCUCACAGCUCAACUGUGAAACUGCCAUUGAUACUGCGUGUCUUGAGUGAGGUUGAAGUAGCUGGAAUAAGUAGUGUAGCGGUGAAAUGCAUAGAUAUUACUUAGAACACCAAUUGCGAAGGCAGGUUACUAAGUCUCAACUGACGCUGAUGGACGAAAGCGUGGGGAGCGAACAGGAUUAGAUACCCUGGUAGUCCACGCUGUAAACGAUGCUUACUCGUUUUUGGGGAUUUAUCUUCAGAGACUAAGCGAAAGUGAUAAGUAAGCCACCUGGGGAGUACGAACGCAAGUUUGAAACUCAAAGGAAUUGACGGGGGCCCGCACAAGCGGUGGAUUAUGUGGUUUAAUUCGAUGAUACGCGAGGAACCUUACCAAGGCUUAAAUGGGAAUUGAUCGGUUUAGAAAUAGACCUUCCUUCGGGCAAUUUUCAAGGUGCUGCAUGGUUGUCGUCAGCUCGUGCCGUGAGGUGUUAGGUUAAGUCCUGCAACGAGCGCAACCCCUGUCACUAGUUGCCAUCAUUAAGUUGGGGACUCUAGUGAGACUGCCUACGCAAGUAGAGAGGAAGGUGGGGAUGACGUCAAAUCAUCACGGCCCUUACGCCUUGGGCCACACACGUAAUACAAUGGCCGGUACAGAGGGCAGCUACACAGCGAUGUGAUGCAAAUCUCGAAAGCCGGUCUCAGUUCGGAUUGGAGUCUGCAACUCGACUCUAUGAAGCUGGAAUCGCUAGUAAUCGCGCAUCAGCCAUGGCGCGGUGAAUACGUUCCCGGGCCUUGUACACACCGCCCGUCAAGCCAUGGAAGUCUGGGGUACCUGAAGUCGGUGACCGUAAAAGGAGC